This 616-nucleotide long non-coding RNA is filed under the name Homo sapiens (human). RNAcentral's name for it is "long intergenic non-protein coding RNA 2327". The record is from RNAcentral. Lineage: Eukaryota; Metazoa; Chordata; Mammalia; Primates; Hominidae.
CAAAGUGCUGGGAUUACAAGCGUGAGCCACCGCGACCCGCCAACACUCUUGACAACAGUGCUGUGCUAAGAACUUGGGGGACUUCAAAAAGUUCACCAGUUCCUGUGUCCAUGGGUGAAAAGAUUUUCUACAUCUUUCCUUGACUAGAAACAGAAGUCCUGAAACAAGAAUAUAACGUCAGGAGGCCAGAGGCUUUGUCCUGCCUAAUGUGUUAUUUCCACACUGAAUAAAAGCACCUGAGUCCUGCAUUUUAAAAAGGUUGUACAUCUAGCAAUACCUAACAAAAUAGGAAAUCAACUUGCCAAUGGCUGUGUUUUGAGUUUAUGGAGAGCCAUAUGUGGCAAGGAACUGAGGGUGGCAUCCAGGCAACAGACUUCAAGAAACUGAGGCUGUCAGUCCAACAACCCACAAGAACUGAAUCUGACCAACAAUCACAGGAACAAACUUAGAAGUAUACUCUUUCCCAGACAAACCUUCAGAUGAGACCACAGCCCCAGCCAUAAGCUUGAAAACAAUCUCAUGAGGGACCUUGAGCCACAGGCAUGUAGUAAAGCUAUGCCAGGAAUCCUGCCUGCCCCACAGAAAAUGUAAAAAAAAUAAAUUUUUAUUGUUUUAA